This 1713-nucleotide long non-coding RNA is filed under the name Carassius auratus (goldfish). Its description in RNAcentral is "lncRNA (ENSCARG00000037050.1)". Lineage: Eukaryota; Metazoa; Chordata; Actinopteri; Cypriniformes; Cyprinidae. The record is from RNAcentral.
UCCAGAACAGUUUUGGAAGCAGAUCCCUACACAAAGCACCCAUAAUCAAAAGCAGAUCUGAUCAUGUCCUGAAAAAUUUGCAACAUUGUCUCCCUAUUAGCCCCACACCCAGCCAGACUUCUCAUCACAUUCAAAACUUUUUCACACUGCAACACAGUUUUACCAGGUGCACGGCCCAAGUCAUACACUCUUCAAACCAAAUACCCAAAAAAGUUUAAAACAUUUACCUUCUCCAAUGGAGACUCAUACAUAUAUAACCCAGAUUAGGUAACUUUCUUUUAAAACCCAAAAUUAUAUAUUUUGUUUUAGAAGCAGAUAUUUUGAAGCCCCAUGUAUUUCCCCAUUCCUCUACAGAUAUGAACACUCUUUGUAUAGCUUUUAAAACAAGCCCUACGUUACACCCUCUUUUCCAAAUAGCCCUGUCAUCUGCAAAUAAAAAGAAACCUGAAUCCUCUCUCUAUUUUAUCAAAGAUAUAAUUUAUCAUUAUAUUAAAUAAAACUGGACUUAUUACACCAAAGACUUAAACUACUUCAGUCUAUGUGCAUUUUAUUUUCAUAAUACAAAAAGCUUCACAAUUUGAGUUACAUUACUGAAAUAAAUGAACUAUUCCACGACAUUCUAAUUUAUUGAGAUGCACCUUUAGUCAAGUAGACAAAUACAAAGACUGCAAAUGUGGGUAUUUGAACAAGGCUUCUGGGUAGAAAGUGAACCUCUUUAAUCCUGCCCAGGUUUAAUGAUUUUCAAGCUGUGCGCGCUUACUGAUUAUGUAAUAAUGAGUUAACAAGCUGUCCAGGUGGCACAAAUUGUUUUCUGUUUGGCUUUAAAAGUCCUGGUUUGGAUGGAACUAUAUGUAUAGUUUGGUCAUUUUGAGGUUAAGGUUGUAGUAAAGAAUGGAUAUGAUUAAAUUUACUCUUUUGGUGUUUCUUUAUCACCAGUUGCUAUGGCAAGGAAACGUCUGGAGUCAGGGUGAGCUGCCAGUUAACACCACGGCGCCAGAGCUUCAGGGGGACGAAUCGCCAGCUAACACCACGGCGCCAGAGCGUCAGGGGGACGAAUCGCCAGCUAACACCACGACGCCAGAGCGUCAGGGGGACGAAUCGCCAGCUAACACCACGGCGCCAGAGCGUCAGGGGACGAAUCGCCAGCUAACACCACGGCGCCAGAGCGUCAGGGGGACGAAUCGCCAGCUAACACCACGGCGCCAGAGCGUCAGGGGGACGAAUCGGCCAGCUAACACCACGGCGCCAGAGCGUCAGUGGGACGAAUCGGCAGCUAACACCACGGUGCCAGAGCGUCAGGGGGACGAAUCGCCAGCUAACACCACGGCGCCAGAGCGUCAGGGGGACGAAUCGGCAGCUAACACCACGGCGCCAGAGCGUCAGUGGGACGAAUCGGCAGCUAACACCACGGCGCCAGAGCGUCAGUGGGACGAAUCGCCAGCUAACACCACGGCGCCAGGGCCUCAGGAGGAUGAGACGGAGACCACUUCUAGUGCCACCACACAGUCUCAGGAGACUGAGACCACUUCAAACACUACCUAAGCCUUGUUGAAUAGGUUUUUUGUUUUUUUUGGUGCUGUCUAGCUGCUUUGUCAAAAGUUGACUAACAAAAUAAAAGUUAAUGGUUUGUCUUGUUCAAUGUCUUUCCAGAGUUGGAGCUGCUUUUAAUGCCAAUUCUUUCUCUUUGGGGGGGUCGCUUUAGCAGUUGACCAU